CCUACGGGAGGCAGCAGUGAGGAAUAUUGGUCAAUGGACGAGAGUCUGAACCAGCCAAGUAGCGUGAAGGAUGACUGCCCUAUGGGUUGUAAACUUCUUUUAUAUGGGAAUAAAAUGUUCCACGUGUGGGAUUUUGUAUGUACCAUAUGAAUAAGGAUCGGCUAACUCCGUGCCAGCAGCCGCGGUAAUACGGAGGAUCCGAGCGUUAUCCGGAUUUAUUGGGUUUAAAGGGAGCGUAGGUGGAUUGUUAAGUCAGUUGUGAAAGUUUGCGGCUCAACCGUAAAAUUGCAGUUGAAACUGGCAGUCUUGAGUACAGUAGAGGUGUGCGGAAUUCGUGGUGUAGCGGUGAAAUGCUUAGAUAUCACGAAGAACUCCGAUUGCGAAGGCAGUUCACUGGACUGCAACUGACACUGAGGCUCGAAAGUGUGGGUAUCAAACAGGAUUAGAGACCCCUGUAGUC
RNAcentral lists this ribosomal RNA (460 nucleotides) under uncultured bacterium. RNAcentral describes it as "partial 16S ribosomal RNA". It matches the Rfam family "Bacterial small subunit ribosomal RNA", at positions 338 to 795 of the family's 1533-position model. The record is from RNAcentral.